Molecule: ribosomal RNA, 121 nt
Filed under: Bison bison bison
Lineage: Eukaryota; Metazoa; Chordata; Mammalia; Artiodactyla; Bovidae
Source: RNAcentral
GUCUCAGGCCGGAUCAGCCUGAAGGCGCCCGAUCUCGUCUGAUCUCGGAAGCUAAGCAGGGUCGGGCCUGGUUAGUAUCUUGGGAUGGGAGACCACCUGGGAAUCCCGGGUGCUCGAGGCU